Molecule: long non-coding RNA, 2382 nt
Organism: Saccostrea cuccullata (small rock oyster)
Lineage: Eukaryota; Metazoa; Mollusca; Bivalvia; Ostreida; Ostreidae
Exons: 5
Source: RefSeq, a predicted model, not a curated record
GGAAUCCGAAUACUCACAAGAAGGACAAAACCAGUAUGAAAAUUAACACAAAGAAAUUGUGCCAGAAAUAUUUGAAGUAUCUAUGGGAAUGAUCUGACAACAUCGAACUUGCUGAGCCUUCCUUCUUAAAGUGACAUGACCAGAUAUUUGGCUACCCAGUUUGAGAUACGAACUAAUCAUUUGUUGUACGACUUGUUGUGUAUGAGAUUGCCACAUUUACUGGAACUUUAAACCCCUGCUAUCUACAAUUAUGUUUCUGCUAAAUGAAAUAAAAUAUUGUGGAGGAACACGGAGAAAAGGGCACCUCAACAUGUUCAAGGUCAAGCAGCUUUUUACCAUAUCCAUAGUAUCUUGCUGCUAAAUGAAAGAAUUAUUGUGGAGGAACAGAGAAAAGGGCACCUCAACAUGUUCAAGGUCAAGCAGGAGCUACAUGUGCUUCUCCAGAGCUGAAUAUUUCUUGGGAUGAAGAGAAGAAAAAGCAAAAGGAAGCAGUUUUAAAUAUUGAUUAUGUCUUUAUAGUACAAAAAAUGAUUCGAAAGAUGAUACUAUCUAUGAAAUUAGAAAACUGAAGUGCCGUUCUGAUGAAUGUGAAAAAGUCCUUAAAGAACAGGACACCAAAAGUGCCACUCUCAAAUCAAAACACUCUAAAAGGCAGAGCUUAAGAAGAACUAGGACAAAUAAAGAAUCUAAAAGAGUCAAACCUAAUGAUGUAGCGAUUGAAUAGAAAUGGGCUAUUAGAGACCAAAUAUCUAAGUUAUUACUGUUUUGCACAAAUGUGAUGUUUUUUUUACUUAACUUUAAUUGACACAUUCAAUGUUAGAUAAGAAAAAUAUACCUUAGUAGUGUUGUAUUUUUGACAGUUAAAGUUUUUUCUGAUACUUCAUUACAGAUUAAAACUGUUAUAUUUUUUAUUGUUUAAACAUUGAUUGGUUUAUCGUGUGGUAUGCAAUCACAUACAUUUUAAUCUUGAUUUAUGAAAUACAUAUAUAUACAAGUUUGACUUAAAUAAUAAGUGCAUGGACAUUUAUUGUGGAAAAAAAAUAUGACAAUCAAGGGUAGUCUUAAAGAGCUUUGCUGGCAGUAAGUGGCAGAUCUUGAUACCCAAGUAAGAGAAAGGUGGUGUCUCUGACCGAUCCUUUUGCUCUUGCUUGUGGGCAAGUGAGGCUUCUUUGUCAGUGGCUUAGUGUGUCAUAGACGUAAAAAGUAGACUAAGCAGAUGAGGUAGAGACAUUUCUGAGUAAAAAAGGGUGAAUUGUGAAUUUAACAAAUAUCAUAUUGCAAGAGUAAUGAGAAUUGAAAGAGUAAAAUAUUAAUUUGUUUCCUUCCAUAUGAAGUAAAAGAGUUUAUGACUAGAAUUUUGUGCAUUAAGAUUAAAUUGUAAUUAAGGCUAAACAAAAAUUGUUAAAUAUACUUGUACAUCUGUUUAUACAGGAAAUUUUAUAUGUACAUGUUUCCGAGCUCAUUCUUGAAAUUUUGAAGCAAAGUGUAGAAGAUUGAUGACUGAAAAAAAUAUCACUAUCAAAAUUUCUUGCAUUCCAAUGUAAAAUGAGGAUAUGUUAAAAGUUAUAAUCAUCAAGCAAUAAACCUAGAAGUUGGAACAAAUAUGGGGUAUUAGAGACAAAUUAUCAGCUGUUACUAUUUUGUGUAAUUGUGAUGAUGUUUCUUUAAUUUGAAUUGACAUAACCAAAUGAUAUAAAAGAUUUUUUUUGGUGUUGUAUUUUACACAGUCAACAUAAAGUAUCUACUGUACUGGGUUAAAGAUUUAAAAGCUAUCAUAUUUUUAUUGAUACCAUAUCGACUGGCUUAUUGUGUCGCACACAUGUACAUACCUUUUUAAUCUCUGAUUUAUUGCCAUGUUUUUUCAAGUUGAUAAUUAGUGCAUGGACAUCUAUUGUGGAAAUACUUGGGAAACAAUAUACGGGUGGUCUGAAAGAGCUUUGCUGGCAGUAAGUUGCAGAUCUUGAUACCCAAGUAAGAGAAGGGUGGUGUCUAUGACCGAUCCUUUUGCUCUUGCUUGUGGGCGAGUGAGGCUUCUCUGUCAGUGGCUUAGUGUGUCUUAAUAGAUGUACAUGUAAAAAGAAUAGGCAUUUUUUAUUGCCAACAUUUAUUCUUCUGUGCAAAGUAUGAUAUGAUUUUUUUUGGGAAAUUGAAGAUAUGAUUUUUUGGGGGGAAAUUGAAAAACCAUUUACAACCCAUGCAGCAAUUUCAAUAGGGGUAGUUUCAGUCACAGGUUUUGCAGUCUUUUGGAGUCAAGAAUGACUGCAUUUUUUUUUACCUGUUGUGUUCUGAUUUAUUGCAGAUUUAAAUUUUACAUGCAAUUCUAUUUUUAUAAUUAUUUUGUUAUUGAUUUGUUUGGACAUGAUGACCCAUUGUUGUCAGGGU